AGUGAACGCUGGCGGUAGGCCUAACACAUGCAAGUCGAACGGCAGCACAGUAAGAGCUUGCUCUUACGGGUGGCGAGUGGCAGACGGGUGAGGAAUACAUCGGAAUCUACUUUUUCGUGGGGGAUAACGUAGGGAAACUUAUGCUAAUACCGCAUACGACCUACGGGUGAAAGCAGGGGAUCUUCGGACCUUGCGCGAUUGAAUGAGCCGAUGUCGGAUUAGCUAGUUGGCGGGGUAAAGGCCCACCAAGGCGACGAUCCGUAGCUGGUCUGAGAGGAUGAUCAGCCACACUGGAACUGAGACACGGUCCAGACUCCUACGGGAGGCAGCAGUGGGGAAUAUUGGACAAUGGGCGCAAGCCUGAUCCAGCCAUACCGCGUGGGUGAAGAAGGCCUUCGGGUUGUAAAGCCCUUUUGUUAGGAAAGAAAAGCAGCAGGUUAAUACCCCGCUGUUCUGACGGUACCCAAAGAAUAAGCACCGGCUAACUUCGUG
RNAcentral lists this ribosomal RNA (492 nucleotides) under uncultured bacterium. Its description in RNAcentral is "partial 16S ribosomal RNA". It matches the Rfam family "Bacterial small subunit ribosomal RNA", at positions 29 to 507 of the family's 1533-position model. The record is from RNAcentral.